GGAAGGGGUGAACCCUAGAGGUUUAAAGGCUAAUGAACUGUGGCAAACAGAUGUUACGCCUAUUUUAGAAUUUGGACGUCUCAAAUAUGUACAUGUCACAGUCGACACCCAUUCUCAAUUUUUGUGGGCCACCGCCCACACUGGUGAAAAGGCUAGGGAUGUGACUCGUCAUUGGCUUGCCUGCCUUGAGGUCUUGGGGGGUGCCAAUAAACAUCAAAAUGGACAACAGCCCAGCCUAUUGCUCAGGCCGUGUACGUCAAUUCCUCAAUACAUGGGGCAUCUCUCAUGUAACAGGCAUACCCCGCUCCCCAACCGGCCAAGCCAUUGUUGAGCGGUCGCAUCGCAGCCUGAAAGACAUGCUACAAAAACAAAAAAAAGGGGCAGACACUGCUCACCCCACAAGAAUGACUACACAAAGCGUUAUAUGUCCUUAAUUUUUUGAAUUGUGAUGAAACAGGUCGUAAUAAUUCCAAACGUCAGCAAGCCACAGACAUAAGAUCAAUACAAAAGCCCCCAGGUUUGGUCAAAGACUUGGUUUCCGGCCAACGGGUGGGACCAAUGGAACUGAUAACCUGGGGGAGGGAAAAUGCUUGUGUUUCUACAGGAACUCGGUUACGAUGGGUGCCGUCGCGACGUGUAUGACCUUAUGUUGCCUCAUCCUCGGAGCAAAAAAAAAAAAAAACACUCUGCUUUAAUUCUAAGUGCAAGGCCAGCAAGUGUUUUUCAUUCCUACUUUUGGGUUUUGGUCUAUUGGAAGCAAAUGAGCAUCAUUUUUGAAAGCCCAUCUAAACAGCUGAGCACAGGCUAAAGAUGGUCCCAGAUCUCUCUCUCUCUCUCUCUCUCUCUCUCUACGUAUGUACAUAUGUAUGUGUGUUCAUUUUUCCCCUUUAAACUGUCCCUGUAAUCCCAGACAUAAUUGUUCCAGUGCUCACGAAUAAGCCACUCCGGUUUUGCUGUCUCAGCUAAAGUGAAAGCACUAAAAAUAAACUAAGCAAUCUUUCCUUUUCUUUCA
RNAcentral lists this long non-coding RNA (1012 nucleotides) under Apteryx haastii (Great spotted kiwi). Its description in RNAcentral is "lncRNA (ENSAHAG00000013242.1)". Lineage: Eukaryota; Metazoa; Chordata; Aves; Apterygiformes; Apterygidae. The record is from RNAcentral.